This 492-nucleotide long non-coding RNA is filed under the name Arachis ipaensis. RNAcentral's name for it is "long non-coding RNA (AIPA_LNC001325)". Lineage: Eukaryota; Viridiplantae; Streptophyta; Magnoliopsida; Fabales; Fabaceae. The record is from RNAcentral.
ACUAAUUACCAUAAUUAUACUGAUCCGUUUGUUGGAUACUAUACGAUUGUAUAUAACAGUUGUUUAACUAUUUAUCGAUGGUUCCAUGACCUUCUUUAGAGCUCAUGAGAAGCAUUGUGAAGGUGCCCGCAUGGUAUAAUUGCACCCUGAGUGUGUAGGUACGUAUAGGCCUAAUAAAAACAGUCGUUUCGUAUAUUCAUCAAUAUAUUAAACUUGUCGUUUAUUCUACGUCGUUAACAUCAUGCAAUAAGCGUUUAAUUGGUUCUAAACCCUCAACUUUGGGCUUUAGGGUUUAGACACAAAACUAACAUUAGCGAAUCUAUAGUAAUAUAUACUUAUCCAAAUUAGAACUAUUCUUAUCUAAAAAUAAUAUUCAAAUUAAAAAUGAACUCAUUUUUCUUCACUUCAACACGCUGUGUGGCCAUGUUUAUUUUGGUUUGACGGGAUAUAAGGUCUAGAAAUGGAAUUAUAAAUAAUUUUGAUGAACUGAGG